Molecule: non-coding RNA, 54 nt
Filed under: Strongylocentrotus purpuratus (purple sea urchin)
Lineage: Eukaryota; Metazoa; Echinodermata; Echinoidea; Camarodonta; Strongylocentrotidae
Description: Guanidine-II sequence
Rfam family: Guanidine-II riboswitch aptamer (mini-ykkC)
About the family: Simpler in structure and has fewer highly conserved nucleotide positions than the ykkC-yxkD leader. Despite this each of its two stem-loop structures directly bind free guanidine.
Source: Rfam by way of RNAcentral
GAGGGGGGACGACCCCCCCCCCUAAAAAAAUUGAGGGGGGACGACGUGUCCCCC